CCGACGGUGGUCAAACGGUCGUGAUGGUGGGCUUUUGACUCUUCUGUCCUAGGUUGGAAUCCUACCGUUGCU
This 72-nucleotide transfer RNA is filed under the name Fasciola hepatica (liver fluke). Its description in RNAcentral is "tRNA-Lys". Lineage: Eukaryota; Metazoa; Platyhelminthes; Trematoda; Plagiorchiida; Fasciolidae. The record is from RNAcentral.